ACACGUCUAUUUAGUAGCAUGGCCACCUCAAUGAAGUAAGUGCUAUGUUAUUUCAAAAACCUAUUAAAUCAAUUAGUCACAGGGCAAAUAAAGCGUUUAUAUAGGAACCAAUGCGCUUACUUAUUCGUAAUCCACUGUCGAAAUUACAGCAAAAUGAAGGUAGCAGGAGCUCUGUUGUUGAUCGCUUUGCUGGCUAACUUCUUUACUGAUAUUUAUGGGACGCCUUGUAUGUUCGAUAGCGACUGCGACCCAAUAUGCACAACCAGUUGCAGUACAGCUGGAAAAUGCAUCCAGUCUGCAUGUUACUGUGAAGCUCCUUCCGAUUCCGAGCCAUCUGCCUGCGGAGAUCACAGUCGGCCUCGACUAGUUCCAGUGAGACCUUAGAAACGUUGAAAAACGUUUACUAUGAAACUGUGAAAUAAAAGUGAGAUUUCAAAAAUAAA
This is a long non-coding RNA of Maniola jurtina (meadow brown), 443 nucleotides long. RefSeq lists it as uncharacterized. Lineage: Eukaryota; Metazoa; Arthropoda; Insecta; Lepidoptera; Nymphalidae. The record is from RefSeq and is a predicted model, not a curated record. The transcript has 2 exons.